This 846-nucleotide ribosomal RNA is filed under the name uncultured Actinomycetes bacterium. RNAcentral describes it as "bacterial SSU rRNA". It matches the Rfam family "Bacterial small subunit ribosomal RNA", at positions 27 to 876 of the family's 1533-position model. Lineage: Bacteria; Bacillati; Actinomycetota; Actinomycetes. The record is from RNAcentral.
GGACGAACGCUGCGGCCGUGCCUUAACACAUGCAAGUCGAACGGAAAGGCUCCCUUGCCUUGCAAGGGGUACUCGAUGGCGAACGGGUGAGUAACACGUGGGUGAUCUGCCUUGCACUUCGGGAUAAGCCUGGGAAACUGGGUCUAAUACCGGAUAGGACCAUGCUUUAGCGUGUGUGGUGGAAAGUUUUUUCGGUGCAAGAUGAGCCCGCGGCCUAUCAGCUUGUUGGUGGGGUAAUGGCCUACCAAGGCGACGACGGGUAGCCGGCCUGAGAGGGUGUACGGCCACAUUGGGACUGAGACACGGCCCAGACUCCUACGGGAGGCAGCAGUGGGGAAUAUUGCACAAUGGGCGCAAGCCUGAUGCAGCGACGCCGCGUGGGGGAUGACGGCCUUCGGGUUGUAAACUCCUUUCGCUAGGGAAGAAGCCACUGUGUGGUGACGGUACCUGGAUAAGAAGCACCGGCUAACUACGUGCCAGCAGCCGCGGUAAUACGUAGGGUGCGAGCGUUGUCCGGAAUUACUGGGCGUAAAGAGCUCGUAGGUGGUUUGUCGCGUCGUCUGUGAAAUCCCGGGGCUUAACUUCGGGCGUGCAGGCGAUACGGGCAUAACUAGAGUGCUGUAGGGGAGACUGGAAUUCCUGGUGUAGCGGUGAAAUGCGCAGAUAUCAGGAGGAACACCGAUGGCGAAGGCAGGUCUCUGGGCAGUUACUGACGUUGAGGAACGAAAGCAUGGGUAGCGAACAGGAUUAGAUACCCUGGUAGUCCACGCCGUAAACGAUGAGUGCUAAGUGUUAGGGGGUUUCCGCCCCUUAGUGCUGCAGCUACGCAUUAAGCACUCCGCCUGG